UAGGGAAUCUUCGGCAAUGGGGGGAACCCUGACCGAGCAACGCCGCGUGAGUGAAGAAGGUUUUCGGAUCGUAAAGCUCUGUUGUAAGGAAGAACGAGUGUGAGAAUGGAAAGUUCAUACUGUGACGGUACUUAACCAGAAAGGGACGGCUAACUACGUGCCAGCAGCCGCGGUAAUACGUAGGUCCCGAGCGUUGUCCGGAUUUAUUGGGCGUAAAGCGAGCGCAGGCGGUUAGAUAAGUCUGAAGUUAAAGGCAGUGGCUCAACCAUUGUAGGCUUUGGAAACUGUUUAACUUGAGUGCAGAAGGGGAGAGUGGAAUUCCAUGUGUAGCGGUGAAAUGCGUAGAUAUAUGGAGGAACACCGGUGGCGAAAGCGGCUCUCUGGUCUGUAACUGACGCUGAGGCUCGAAAGCGUGGGGAGCGAACAGG
This 428-nucleotide ribosomal RNA is filed under the name Bacteroidota bacterium. RNAcentral describes it as "Bacteroidetes bacterium partial 16S ribosomal RNA". It matches the Rfam family "Bacterial small subunit ribosomal RNA", at positions 355 to 776 of the family's 1533-position model. The record is from RNAcentral. Lineage: Bacteria; Pseudomonadati; Bacteroidota.